Molecule: long non-coding RNA, 2149 nt
Organism: Lolium perenne
Lineage: Eukaryota; Viridiplantae; Streptophyta; Magnoliopsida; Poales; Poaceae
Source: RefSeq, a predicted model, not a curated record
UGUGACCCAAGCCCCAUUAGACACAACCUUGUCUAGUCUUUCUUUAAUUCUCCCUCUCUUCCAAGUAAAUUUCCCCCCUUGAAAACCAAGGUCUUCAAGCUCGCAAUCCGUCAAGGCAUCACGGAAUGCUUGCAAGAACGAAACUGGACGUUGAUUUCCUCCUUCUUUCUCAUGCACAAAAAGGAUCUCAUUAAAAUCUCCAAGAAUCAGCCACAAAUUAGAGUCAUGUUUGAGUUCCCUCAUUUUAUCCCAUGUUUUAUACUUAUCUUCCCACCGAUGUUCGCCAUAUAUACCAGUAAGGCACCAAAUCCGUCCUUGGCCCUCGUCAACAUGGACAUCUAUAUAAUCUGGAGUUGAAAACACUUGUUGAAUUCAUAUCUCUCUUUUCCAUGUAAUCAGACCUCCACUCUCCCAUUACUCGAAUUUAUAAUUUUAGAAUCCAUCUUUAAUCUCCUUCUUGACAUUCAGGUGGAUAUUCAUCAAGGUGGGUCUCCGACAAAAAAAACCACCUCGGGGUUACUUCCCUUCUGAAGAUCAGAGAUCAUACGAACUGUUGGGGCGUUACCUAGACCCUGAUAGUUGAGGCCUAAUAUCCUCAUUGCGACCGGAUAGGCUCCUCGAAAGAGCCCGCCGAUCCAUGCGAAGGGGAGAUAGCUCCAUCCUUCUUAGAACGUCUGGUUCUAGAAUUGUCCUCCUUUGCAGUACCAGCAGUAGCAGGGCUUUGAACACCAUCCACCACCAUAGCUGCAGCAUGAUCUCCUUAUUUUGACCUAAAAUUUCCUCCUCUUCCUACUGAUUCAUCUCCAGACUCUUCAUCGCAGUUGAGUCUGAGGAGCCAUUAUCAUCCAUCUCCUCAUUAGGCUUCUUAACCGGACUAGAGCUCGUAUCAGCUAGUGGAUCCUCGGCUUGAGCAACACCAUCGACGUAAGCAAGAUCAUUAAACCUCCAGGAUGUCGUACCUCCUCUACCGCGAGCCCCGUUGGCUCCACGUCCUCUUCCCUCUCCAUUGCCGUACAGAUCAGUCCUACCACCAUGGCCACCUCGGCCCCCUCCACAGUUUCCACCCAUUCCACGGCCAUGCCAAGUAGACCACUCAGCUUGCAAAGAUUCGUCCCACUUGAGUUUGUUUUCAUCAUGGUCUCCAGUUCCACAUUCGAGGUGAGAGUGUCCAACAAAUCCACAAGCACCACAAUACCUCGGCAUCUUCUCAUAUUUAACUUAGAUAAAAUUCUCUCUUGCCAUCUCUUGAGAUUGUGACAAACCGCGCUAAAACCUUCCUCACAUUCAGCUUCACUUGGGCACGAACAAAGUUUUUUUUUUUUUUUGCGAAACACACGAACAAAGUUACCAUGCCUUGGACAUUCAUCUGGACUUGUAGCACUUUCCCUACUUUUUACUAGAGCAUCGUGGCAUUGGCUGUUUAUUUAGUGGCUGGAAAGAAAAAAAAAACACGGGCAGACUAGUCGAACCAGCCAGUCCCGUUUUUCCUCGGCCGAACCAGGCGUCGAUCCCAGACGGAGGCAGUGGCGCGAUGCAACAACCGGGAGGCAACGGGGAUAGCGGCCGGUCGGUGGCGCGGCCGCUCGACCUGGUCGAGCUGGGCUGGUAGUCCCCGGACUACUCUGCUUCCGUUCUUCCCAGGAGGGUGCGGCCAGAUGCGACCUGCCAGAGGUGACGGAGACAGCGGCGGCGGCAGUCGGCCGGCGAUGGGGGCCGCUGCACGUUGCUGAUCCGGUCCGGAAGUCCCGGUUAUGCUUCCUUUCUUCCUCAGCGACCCCGUUGACGAGCCACUCGGAGGCGACGGGGACAGCGACUUCGGCCGCCGGCCAUUGGCAGGGACGUAACGAUUGUAUCGAUCGACCCAAUCUCCUUCACGCAGUUAGGUUGGAUGAUGAAGCUUGGAUGGAGAGGUCUACGGUUUCUUUGAUUACUGGUACACAAGAGAGUGUCAUCAUUGCAGAUUGUGUGCAUAGUCAGGUGGCUGCUAACAUGGACGAUGGCCAAUUGCAUUGCAAGUGGAACAGCAUCAUGCAACAGAUUCAUUUUACUAUGUGCAUAGUCAGGUUUCUUUGAAAUUACUAUGCCGAUGUUAACAACAUUUGGUUGUUCCUAUAUACAAAUUACUGGAACAUCCUCUUUGAUCACGUUA